UUAGAAAGCACAAUGGAUUUUCUGGUGCAGAUUUUCAGCUUCCUACUAGUCAGUGUCACAGUGUCCAGUGGACAAAUGGUUCUCACCCAGUCUCCAGCAUUCGUGGUUGCAUCUCAAGGAGACAGGGUCACCCUUACCUGCAUAACCAGCUCAAGUGUAAGCUCCAGUUACUUCAACUGGUACCAGCAGAAGCCAGGAACAUCCCCUAAGCUCCUGAUUUAUAAAGCAUCCACUCUGGCUUCUGGAGUCCUAGCUCGCUUCAGUGGCAGUGGGUCUGGGACCUCUUACUCUCUCACAAUCAGCAGCAUGGAGGCUGAAGAUGCUGCCACUUACUACUGUCAGCAGUGGAGUAGUUCUCCCUUCACACAGUGAUACAGACUGGAACAAAAACCCUUUAUCUCCCUAGGGCCCAACAGCUUCGUCCUAGUGGUGAAAUGUGGCCAAGGGUUUCGUGGCAAUAAUCCACACAGGGUGCUUUAUGCCCUGCUUUACAAGGACAUUUGCAUCUUUGGGUAACUUCGUGUCUCCAUAAUACCCCACUGUACUUCAGUGCUGUUCUCAAGUUUGUUCAUUGUUUGUUUAUUCUCUAUUUUUGGUUCUGUUUGUUGAAGGAAAGUGUAGUAGAAACUUUUCAACUAUUUUACUGGAGUUCCUCAGAAGCCUUCAUACCUUGAUUCUUCUCCCAGCACUGAUCACAGGAUCUUCUCUGGCAUUUUUCCUUCAGGACAGUCAUUUAUUAAAAGUACACUGCCUCUGUUAUGAUAGUAAAAGUAGGAUCCAUCUUUAUCUUCUGAUUUUCAUUAACAAACUGUCUUUCCCACUGAAAGUGUCUUGUCAAUUUAUGCUUGAAGUGAUUUUCUC
Molecule: non-coding RNA, 861 nt
Organism: Peromyscus maniculatus bairdii (prairie deer mouse)
Lineage: Eukaryota; Metazoa; Chordata; Mammalia; Rodentia; Cricetidae
Source: the annotation of a RefSeq genome assembly